RNAcentral lists this ribosomal RNA (253 nucleotides) under uncultured bacterium. RNAcentral's name for it is "partial 16S ribosomal RNA". It matches the Rfam family "Bacterial small subunit ribosomal RNA", at positions 524 to 776 of the family's 1533-position model. The record is from RNAcentral.
UACAGAGGUGGCAAGCGUUGUUCGGAAUUACUGGGCGUAAAGAGCUCGUAGGCGGUCUGUCGCGUCGGCUGUGAAAUCCCGAGGCUCAACCUCGGGCCUGCAGUCGAUACGGGCAAACUGGAGUGUUGCAGGGGAGACUGGAAUUCCUGGUGUAGCGGUGAAAUGCGCAGAUAUCAGGAGGAACACCGGUGGCGAAGGCGGGUCUCUGGGCAACAACUGACGCUGAGGAGCGAAAGCGUGGGGAGCGAACAGG